AACUGCGGACGGCUCAUUAUAACAGUAAUAGUUUCUUUGGUUAGUAAAAUACAAGGAUAGCUUUGUGAAUGAUAAAGAUAAUACUUGAGACGAUCCAGUUUGUAUUAGUACAAAAUGGCCAAUUCAUUCAAUGAAUUGAGAAAUGACAUUCUAAGUGAGUUAGGAUGCCACGACAAUUGUAGAACACACAGUGUUUAACAAGUAACCAAUGAGAAUUUCUGAUCUAUCAAUCAGUUGGUAGUAUCGAGGACUACCAAGAUUAUAACGGAUAACGAGGAAUUGGGGUUCGACAUCGGAGAGGGAGCUUUACAGAUGGCUACCACUUCUAAGGAAGGCAGCAGGCGCGUAAA
This 350-nucleotide ribosomal RNA is filed under the name Entamoeba histolytica. RNAcentral's name for it is "SSU rRNA". It matches the Rfam family "Eukaryotic small subunit ribosomal RNA", at positions 85 to 440 of the family's 1831-position model. Lineage: Eukaryota; Evosea; Mastigamoebida; Endamoebidae. The record is from RNAcentral.